CUGGUACUGAGACACGGACCAGACUCCUACGGGAGGCAGCAGUGAGGAAUAUUGGUCAAUGGAGGCAACUCUGAACCAGCCAUGCCGCGUGAAGGAUGACGGCCCUAUGGGUUGUAAACUUCUUUUAUAGAGGAAGAAACUUGUCUACGUGUAGACAAUUGACGGU
This 166-nucleotide ribosomal RNA is filed under the name uncultured bacterium. Its description in RNAcentral is "partial 16S ribosomal RNA". It matches the Rfam family "Bacterial small subunit ribosomal RNA", at positions 313 to 476 of the family's 1533-position model. The record is from RNAcentral.